GACAUUCGGAGCUGCUCUUCAGGGUUCUGGGCACGUCGCAUAUUGCGCCCCAGCCUUCUCAGCAGCCAGGAGCUGGGAGGUGGAGGGGCCUGUGGUCUGGCCGCCACCUAGCAGGCCUGCAUGGCCACCUCCAGCCGGGUGCAGGCUGGCUGGGGUGGGGCUGCCCUUGACCUUGGGCUCUCCCUCCUCCGCCAGAUCCUCAGGCGCUGGCUCAGCCUCCCACGGCCUGGGGGAGCCUCUGUCUGCUCCUUCCAGCCGUUCAAGGACGAGGCUUCCGAAAGACUCACUGUUCCUGUGUGGGGAACUGAGGCUGUGUGAAGGCUGGAUGAACCGCUGCUGUGGCCUGAGUCCUCCGGAGGCUGAGAGCAAACGGCUGCACUAGGAACCCAGCAGUCAGACCGGCCCCCACCCUGGAGUGAACACAUCGCCACUGCCAGGCAUCGCAGGGAGGAUUACCCCAAUGGCACCUGGCUGGGCGACGAGAACAACCCCGAGAUGCGGGUGCACUGCGCCAUCAUCCCCUCCGACAUGCUGCACAUCAGCACCAACUGCCGCACGGCCGAGGAGAUGGUGCUCACGCUGCUGGACUACCUCUUCCACCGCGAGGUGCAGGCUGUGUCCAGCCUCUCGGGGCAGGGCAAGCACGGGAAGAAGCAGCUGGACCCGCUCACCAUCUAUGGCAUCCGGUGUCACCUUUUCUAUAAAUUUGGCAUCACAGAAUCUGACUGGUACCGAAUCAAGCAGAGCAUCGACUCCAAGUGCCGCACGGCGUGGCGGCGCAAGCAGUGGGGCCAGAGCCUGGUGGUCAAGAGCUUCUCGUGGAGAAUGCCCAACUCAUCCUCCUACUGCCCCUCAGAGCCGAUGAUGAGCACCCCACCUCCUGCCAGAGAGCUCCUGCAGCCACAGCUGCAGCCGCAGGCCCUGCACUACGCGCUGGCCAACGUGCAGCAGGUGCAGAUCCACCAGAUCGGAGAAGACGGACAGGUGCAAGUAGUACGUACCCUCUCCACCUCGCACCUUGGUAAAGGGGGCUGUGGGGUGGGCCACGGCGGGGCCAUGGCGGCUUCCACCAGUUCCGCUGUGUUUCGGGAGCACAGUGAUAGCUUGGGAGGAGGCACAAGGUUCCCAUUUAAAGUAGAGGUCAUCGUGGCCAUGAGCUCUUAACAUUUCACAGGUGGGGGCGGCUGCUGCAGAGCCUAGGGAUUGAAGCACAUGGUGGGGUGGGGCAUUCAGUCAGCUCACCUCAGUCCUGCCAGCAGGCAGGCGGGCAGUCAGCUCCAAGGGUCAGGCCGUGCAGUGGUCCCUGCCCCAGCUCGUGCUCCUGGGAAGCAACGGAAAUAUUUCUCAGCUCAGAAGUGCAGGCGUCCUCUUACUGAGGGAAAGAGUAAUUUCCUUCUAGGAUCAGUGGCAAAAGCUUGAGGUCAUUGUUCCCAUGCAGCGUUUCCCUUGGAGUUACUCAGCACACCCAGGUUGGGCGGGCACUGUCCCAGCAGCAAGUCAAUGUCCUGCCUUGCCCGUGCGGAGUUCUCUGUUGGGGUUUUGUGACCCAAGCUGUGGUCAGUCUGAUGCGCCUAGGGGCUCGCUCCCGGGUGAAGUCCCUCUACAAACACCUCCUGGAUUCUGUGGCACGAGAGUAGGGGGCGGCUGAGAAGAAGACUUUUCUGGAAGCUUUGCUGAGUGACUAGAAAUUUUACAUGUACCACUAGACCUAGCCUGUGUUUUUAGUGGCACCAGCCCCCUUGGGCCCUCUGAAGACAGGUCAUCGUGUGCCUCCGUGUUACCAGGGCUUUCUCCUGGAAACAAGGUCCUCCACUAUUGAGAGUGGGUCGUGGCUCUCAUGUCAGUGUGGCUUCAGCGUGCUGUCUGGAAGAGGGAAGGCUUCCAGAAAAUUCUGGGGCUUUUAGAGGGGGCAUUCCCUUCCUCUUCCAAAGGAGAUGAGACAGUUAUGAAUAGUGAAUCUUAUUUAAUAAGCUUAUUAAUUUGUUUGACAUUCACAAUGGCAGUUCCUCUCAUCUUGUUAGUAAGAAGUUCUUUGAAAGCGUUCCAGAGUAGAUAACUUUGUCAUAAGGCUUACAUAGAACUUUCUACAGGAGUUUAAGAUCCAUUUCAACUAAGAGAGAAUUUCAAAUAAGAUAAGGAGUAUUCAUUUCAUUUACAGGUUUAUAGGAAAUAUUUGUCUGCCCGUAUGUAUAAACAGUGGAUUCUUUGAUUUUUUUUGAAUCACAUUUGUUAGUGUUUCCUCAAACUGUUUAAAUAGUCAUAUGAGUGUUUCUUUGAUUUGAAAAACGUUGCCUGCCCUGUUGUGAGUGUAGGCACGCAAACAGCUCCCCUGCUUCAGCCACACACUGCUUGUGUAGCCUCCCAGCAUCCCCAGAGAGCUGAACGUAUCAUUUGAAAAGAGGCGUCAUUGUGAUUUUCUAUUUCCCCUCUUUUCUGUGUGUCAUGCACAUUUUAAAAUUUACUUGUUUAGUAACAUUUAAAGAUGUAUAUAUCUUUCCUGGGACCUAUUGCUCCUUUGUGAAGUACUGGAACAUGUUCUGUGUUACACAGUACCCCCCCUUACCCAUGCUUCCACUUUCCUAGGUUUUAAUUACCCACAGUCAACUGUGAUCUGAAAAUAUUAGAUGAGAAAUUCCAGAAAUAAACAAUUUGUAAGUUUCAGAUUGCAUACUCUUCUGGGUAGUACCAUGAUGAAGUCUGGUCGUCCUGCUGUGUCCAGCCCGGGAUGUGAGUCAUUCCUUUGUCCAGCAUGUCCAAGCUGUGUGGCACGUAUGGGCAGGAAAAAGCAUAGCAUAUACGGGGUUCAGCACCAUCCACGGUUUCUGACGUCCACAUGGUGGGGGGAGGGGGCGCUUCUUGAAACCCUCAUGGAUGAGGGGGACUACUGUGAACCAAAAGCUUAAUUUAAAGAGGUGACCACAGACUAUAUUGCACUAUUCAGGAUUUAGUUAUCUUUUUGAAUUGUAAACAGAUAAUCAAGAACAAACAUUCCGGAAGAUGUUUCUUGUUUCCUUUGCUUUUUAUUUUCUUCUGAUGCUUCUUGGUGUCUUUUCUUACUGCGGAUCCCACAGGGACACCUCCACAUCGCCAAGGUGCCACAGGGGGAGCAAGUCCAGAUCACGCAGGACAGCGAGAGCCCGUGUUCUGGUACUACGUGAAGGAGGUCCUCAACAAGCACGAGCUGCAAGCGCUUCUACUCCCUGCGCCACAUCGCCUCAGACGUGGGCCGGGGCCGCACCUGGCUGCGCUGUGCCCUCAACGAACACUCCCUGGAGCGCUACCUGCACAUGCUCCUGGCCGACCGCUGCAGGCUCAGUACUUUUUAUGAAGACUGGUCUUUUGUGAUGGAUGAAGAGAGGUCCAGUAUGCUUCCUACCAUGGCAGCAGGUCCGAACUCCAUACUCUUUGCGAUUAACAUUGACAACAAGGAUUUGAACGGGCAGAGUAAGUUUGCUCCCACCGUUUCAGACCUCUUAAAGGAGUCAACGCAGAAUGUGACCUUGCUGAAGGAGUCCACGCAAGGAGUGAGCAGCGUGUUCAGGGAGAUCACAGCCUCCUCUGCCAUCUCCAUCCUCAUCAAACCUGAACAGGAGACCGACCCCUUGCCCGUCGUGUCCAGGAAUGUCAGUGCUGAUGCCAAAUGCAAAAAGGAGCGGAAGAAGAAAAAGCAAGUGACCAACAUUAUCUCAUUUGAUGAUGAGGAAGAUGAGCAGAACUCUGGGGACAUGUUUAAAAAGACACCUGGGGCAGGGGAGAGCUCAGAGGACAACUCCGACCACUCCUCUGUCAAUAUCAUGUCCGCCUUUGAAAGCCCCUUCGGGCCAAACUCCAAUGGAAGUCAGAGCAGCAACUCGUGGAAAAUUGAUUCCCUGUCUUUGAACAGGGAGUUUGGGUACCAGAAGCUUGAUGUGAAAAGCAUCGAUGAUGAAGAUGUGGAUGAAAACGAAGAUGACGUGUAUGGAAACUCAUCAGGACGGAAGCACAGGGGCCACUCAGAGUCGCCCGAGAAAAACGGAGCACACUCUGUCACCCAGGCUGGAGUGCAAUGGCACGAUCUCAGCUCACUACAACCUCUGCCUCCCGGGUUCAAGUGAUUCUACUGCCUCAGCCUCCCGUGUAGCUGGGAUUACAGGCGCGCACCAACACACCCGACUAAUUUUUGUAUUUUUAGUAAAGACAGGGUUUCACCAUGUUGGCCAGGCUGGUCUUGCACUCCUGACCUCACGUGAUCUGCCCCACCUUGGCCUCCCAAAGUGCUGGGAUUACAGGUGUGAACCACUGCGCCCAGCC
RNAcentral lists this long non-coding RNA (4290 nucleotides) under Homo sapiens (human). RNAcentral's name for it is "non-protein coding lnc-SLX1B-3:22". The record is from RNAcentral. Lineage: Eukaryota; Metazoa; Chordata; Mammalia; Primates; Hominidae.